Long non-coding RNA from Ipomoea nil (Japanese morning glory), 211 nucleotides. RefSeq lists it as uncharacterized. The transcript is spliced from 3 exons. Lineage: Eukaryota; Viridiplantae; Streptophyta; Magnoliopsida; Solanales; Convolvulaceae. The record is from RefSeq and is a predicted model, not a curated record.
AAGCUAGGUGGGCUGCAUAAUCAAAAUUCCCGGACGAGUGGUGAAAAUCUCAAAGAGGAAUUAAGUUGGGCCAUGCUUUUGUCUUAAGUCUCCAUCUCUCAAGAACUUUUUCCCCUCCUAGUCUGACUAUUUUGCAUGCAAAUUGCAGUGCUCACAGAGAUUAUAUUGCAGUCCCCGCUCCCUCAGAACUGUAGCUUAAUCUCUGUGAGCA